CUCUUCGGGGAUGAUUAAACCGGCGCACGGGUGAGUAACACGUGAGUGACCUGCCUUUUAGACUGGAACAACUUACCGAAAGGUGAGCUAAUGCCGGAUGAGUUAUAUAAGUGCAUGUUUAUAUAGGAAAAGUUGGGGAGACCUGACGCUGAAAGAUGGACUCGCGUCCCAUUAGCUAGAUGGUAGGGUAAUGGCCUACCAAGGCGACGAUGGGUAGCCGGCCUGAGAGGGUGGCCGGCCACACUGGGACUGAGACACGACCCAGACUCCUACGGGAGGCAGCAGUGGGGAAUUUUGCGCAAUGCUCGUAAGAGUGACGCAGCGACGCCGCGUGAAUGACGAAGGCCUUCGGGUCGUAAAGUUCUUUCGACAGGGAAGAAAAUGCCUAUAAGUAACUGUGUAUGUAUUGACGGUACCUGUAUAAGCAGCCCCGGCUAACUCCGUGCCAGCAGCCGCGGUAAUACGGAGGGGGCGAGCGUUGUUCGGAGUGACUGGGCGUAAAGAGCACGUGGGCGGUGUUGUAAGUCAUUAGUCAAAGACUAGAGCUCAACUUUAGUAAGGCUAGUGAUACUAUAAUACUAGAGUAUCAGAGAGGAUUGCAGAAUUCCUGGUGUAGCGGUGAAAUGCGUAGAUAUCAGGAGGAAUACCGUUAGCGAAGGCGGCAAUCUGGCUGGAAACUGACGCUGAGGUGCGAAAGCGUGGGUAGCAAACAGGAUUAGAUACCCUGGUAGUCCACGCUGUAAACGAUGGAUGCUAGGUGUUGGGCUUUUAAGUUCAGUGCCGCA
Molecule: ribosomal RNA, 785 nt
Filed under: uncultured bacterium
Lineage: Bacteria
Description: bacterial SSU rRNA
Rfam family: Bacterial small subunit ribosomal RNA
Source: RNAcentral